ACUCCUACGGGAGGCAGCAGUGGGGAAUAUUGCACAAUGGGCGCAAGCCUGAUGCAGCCAUGCCGCGUGUGUGAAGAAGGCCUUCGGGUUGUAAAGCACUUUUCAGUCGUGAGGAAGGUAGUGUAGUUAAUAGCUGCAUUAUUUGACGUUAGCGACAGAAGAAGCACCGGCUAACUCCGUGCCAGCAGCCGCGGUAAUACGGAGGGUGCGAGCGUUAAUCGGAAUUACUGGGCGUAAAGCGCAUGCAGGUGGUUUGUUAAGUCAGAUGUGAAAGCCCGGGGCUCAACCUCGGAAUUGCAUUUGAAACUGGCAGACUAGAGUACUGUAGAGGGGGGUAGAAUUUCAGGUGUAGCGGUGAAAUGCGUAGAGAUCUGAAGGAAUAACCGGUGGCGAAAGGCGGCCCCCUGGACAGAUACUGACACUCAGAUGCGAAAAGCGUGGGGGGAGCAAAACAGGAUUAAGAUAACCCUGGUAGGAUAGCG
This 482-nucleotide ribosomal RNA is filed under the name uncultured bacterium. RNAcentral's name for it is "bacterial SSU rRNA". It matches the Rfam family "Bacterial small subunit ribosomal RNA", at positions 335 to 799 of the family's 1533-position model. The record is from RNAcentral.